CAAAGAUAAAAAGGCGAAAAGAAUGCUUCUAACUAUCGUCUUUCAAGCCUAAUUCCUACCGCCUUAGGAUCCGAGUUCAACUACACAAUGGUUGAUUAUAAGCAACAAAAGGGUGGAUGGGAAUGCGGCUACAUGGUUCUCCAACAUAUGUUUGACUUUGUCAAUUUGUAUCAAAACCAGUUUCCCGAUGAAAUGUGGCACGACACGAGAGAGGCAACGGAUAAUGAAAUAGAUGUUUUGUUGAUGACGUUGAUGCCGAAGUUUUUUAGGGAGUUAGGUAUUUCGUUAGAUUAGCGUAUGUAGUU
This is a long non-coding RNA of Helianthus annuus (common sunflower), 305 nucleotides long. RefSeq lists it as uncharacterized. The record is from RefSeq and is a predicted model, not a curated record. NCBI's taxonomy places the organism in Eukaryota, Viridiplantae, Streptophyta, Magnoliopsida, Asterales, Asteraceae. The transcript has 3 exons.